This 266-nucleotide signal recognition particle RNA is filed under the name Bacillota bacterium. Its description in RNAcentral is "signal recognition particle sRNA large type". It matches the Rfam family "Bacterial large signal recognition particle RNA". From Rfam's summary of the family: The signal recognition particle (SRP) is a universally conserved ribonucleoprotein involved in the co-translational targeting of proteins to membranes. Archaeal SRP consists of a 7S RNA and homologues of the eukaryotic SRP19 and SRP54 proteins. In most bacteria, the SRP consists of a 4.5S RNA and the Ffh protein (a homologue of the eukaryotic SRP54 protein). Lineage: Bacteria; Bacillati; Bacillota. The record is from RNAcentral.
CCGUGCUAGGUGGGGAGGUAGCGGUGCUCUGCACCUGCAAUCCGCUAGAGCAGGGCCGAAGGCUUACCAUGAGGCAUCCGUUUGUGGGGCUUGCCUGAUACAAGUGGUGUUGACAGUUGGGUCCAGCGCAACAGAGAUCUAUGAACCCCGUCAGGUCCGGAAGGAAGCAGCGGUAAGUAGACACCUUUGUGUGCCGCUGGGUGGCCUGAUUCGAGCUAACUGUAUCAGUAACACUUGGAAGCGAGAUGUCGAAGGUAAGGGCACGG